GUGCUUGCUUUGGCAACACAUAUACUGAGAUUGGAACGAUACAGAGAAGAUUAGCAUGGCCCCUGUGCAAGAGUGCCAUGCAAAUUCAUGAAAACAUAGGGGCCAUUUUAU
Molecule: small nuclear RNA, 111 nt
Organism: Monodelphis domestica (gray short-tailed opossum)
Lineage: Eukaryota; Metazoa; Chordata; Mammalia; Didelphimorphia; Didelphidae
Source: Ensembl